CAAAGAAGAUACGCAGAUGGUAAAUAAGCCAUGAAAAGGGGCUCAGCAUCAUAUGUCAGUAGGAAAUAGCAAAUUAAAACAAUAUACCACUACACACCUAUCAGCUGGCCAAAAUCCAAAACACGAACACCACCAAAUGCUGGUGAGGACGUGAAGCCACAGGAACGCCCAUUCAUUGCUGGUGGGAACACAAAAUGGUGCAGCCACUUGGGAAGACAGUUUGGCAGCUUCUUGCAAAACUCUCACCAUAUGAUCCGGCAAUCACACUCCCUGGUAAAUCCCCUUUGGGAUUUACCCAAAAGAGGUGAAAAUGUAUGUCCACACCAAAACUUCCACACCGGUGUUUAUAGCAGCUUUAUUCAUAAAUGCCCCAAACUGGGACAAGCCUAAGAUGCUCUUGAGAGAGGGUAAAUGGAUAAACUGUGGUAGAGCCAAACAAUGGAAUAUUAUUCGGCACUAAAAAGAAAUGAGCUGUCAAGCCAUGAAAACACACAGAGGAAAUAUAAAUGCUAUUACCAGGCGAAAGGAGUCAAUCAGAAAAGGCCACAUAGUGCAUGAGUCCAACCACAUGACAUUCUGGAAAAGGCAAAACUGUGGGGACAGUAAAAACCAUCAGUGGUUACGGGGGUGGAGGGUGGGGGAGGAACGGGCAGAGCCAAGGGUUUUCAGGGCAAUGAAACCAUUUUGCAUUCUCUGUAAAUGGCGGACCCGUGUCCUACAUUUGUCCCAAUCUACGGAAUGGCUAACACCAAGAGUGGGCUCUAACGGAUGCCGUGGACUCGGGGUGAUGGCGCAUCCGUGUGGGUUGGCU
RNAcentral lists this long non-coding RNA (811 nucleotides) under Homo sapiens (human). Its description in RNAcentral is "LHRI_LNC706.1". The record is from RNAcentral. Lineage: Eukaryota; Metazoa; Chordata; Mammalia; Primates; Hominidae.